CACUGUGACACUCAGCUACUUUGGUGUCCUCAGGUCACCCUUGCUGACCGUCUCCGACCUGACAGUUGACUUUGCCAAGUUUGUCCUUCACUCUGGCACACGGGAGACAGAGAGAGGUCCUGAAAAAGUGUCUGGUUAAGUGAAGUCCCAGCUGUUUCAGCGCGGUUCGAGAACUUGGAACGACAGGCACGCCACCGGCAGUAUGUAGCGCUUCAGCCAGCAGAACGGAAUCAGCUGCUGUUACCACGGACGUAAAGCGGAGAAUGAUGAUCGACCCCCUCCGUUGCUUUCCAGCCCAUGUGUGGGUGUCCAUCAUUAGCAACAGGCUCGACUCCACGACAGCCAGAGCCUCUUGAGAAGGUGCCUGCUGGACCUAUGUCCUAUUAUAGCACUGUCAUCCUGCAGAAUAAGGUGAUGUGGUUCCUGCUUGACAUGAAAGCCUUUUGGAAAUACUGUACCACCAUCAGGCCACUUCGAAGGCCCUCUCCGAACAUUAUGAGGCUCUUCCUCAAAGAGACAGGAGCUCAUUGCUGACUAAUUCCUUGAAAAGGGUUCCUACACAGAAUGGAAUACGCCAUAAAAAGGAAAGAAAUGAGAUCAUGUCACCUUUUGGAAGGUGAUUUAGCUGA
RNAcentral lists this long non-coding RNA (629 nucleotides) under Scleropages formosus (Asian bonytongue). RNAcentral's name for it is "lncRNA (ENSSFOG00015030496.1)". The record is from RNAcentral. Lineage: Eukaryota; Metazoa; Chordata; Actinopteri; Osteoglossiformes; Osteoglossidae.